Molecule: long non-coding RNA, 867 nt
Organism: Beta vulgaris subsp. vulgaris (sugar beet)
Lineage: Eukaryota; Viridiplantae; Streptophyta; Magnoliopsida; Caryophyllales; Amaranthaceae
Exons: 5
Source: RefSeq, a predicted model, not a curated record
CAAAUUAUGUCUCGUUGCACAAACAGAAAAGAAAAUAGCGGAAAAGAAACCCGCUCUAAUAUUUUCCCACAAUAUUAUGUAUUUCACUUCUUCAAGACUCCAACUGCUCAUUUCUUCAAGACUCCAACUGCUCAUCCUGUCAAAAUAAAAAAAGCUUCAACUGCUCAUCUCCUCAACUCACACCCUCUCCGGUCCGCCCUCCUCUUUUCUUUCUUCCGAUGACUGGUUGGCACUUCCGACGACAUCCCGACGUUUCUCAGGUGGUGAGGUAGGUGGCGGCUGGAGUUCAGCGGCGAGGCUAGCGGCAAGUUCGGCUGCAAGCAUAUGUGAAAACUUAAUACAUAGAACAAGCUAAAGUUGACUGAAACACCAACCAAUUUUUCACGAUCUACGGCGAGAAUAAUGUAUGACAUGAUGAAUUAGCCACCCGUUCUUCCAACACGAUCUUGAAGGAUCAUCCAAACCUAUUGAAGUGGAACAGGAACCAUACUAUGUCAGAUUAUUUGAGAAGACCAAAAAAUAAGGAACAAUGGGUCGUGACCAUCUUCCCAAAUUAGCAAAGGAAAGCCAUAUGAAGUAUGACAAGGCUUGGAUUAUGUGAAUUUCUUUGUAGAUUAUGGGUAGUGCUAAUUAGUUUGUUUUUUAGAUUUCCUUUGAAUUUUGUAACACAUUUAAGUUACAUAGGAUGUCGAAUUUGAAGAUUAUUUUGUACUCCACCGGUUGUCUACAAUUUGCUAUUCCAUGAAUACUUCUUUUAUUAUAUCAUACUUUUGUUUUUAAUAAGUUUAUAUACUUAUAUAUGAAUAUUUGGACAAUUAAUUAGGUAUUACACAUUGUUCUUUGAAUAAAGCGUGAGAUUUAAAAUUA